RNAcentral lists this unclassified non-coding RNA (218 nucleotides) under Glomus sp. Its description in RNAcentral is "partial contains 5.8S ribosomal RNA and internal transcribed spacer 2". The stretch from base 1 to 71 matches the Rfam family "5.8S ribosomal RNA", at positions 84 to 154 of the family's 154-position model. The record is from RNAcentral. Lineage: Eukaryota; Fungi; Glomeromycota; Glomeromycetes; Glomerales; Glomeraceae.
GUGAAUCAUCAAAUUUUUGAACGCGAAUUGCACUCUCUGGUAUUCCGGAGAGUAUGCCUGUUUGAGGGUCAGUUUAAAUAAAAAUCGGUGUAGUUGCUGCCCUUCGUGAUGACUCACCGGAUUUGGGUCGACUUGCCUUCGGUUAAGUGACCUAAAAUUUUACAUGAUUUUUUCGAACGUAUUUAAAUGAUUUUCCGUACAUUUGCGAUAUCUAAUAC